RNAcentral lists this transfer RNA (72 nucleotides) under Actinomadura rayongensis. Its description in RNAcentral is "tRNA-Arg". It matches the Rfam family "tRNA". From Rfam's summary of the family: Transfer RNA (tRNA) molecules are approximately 80 nucleotides in length. The record is from RNAcentral. Lineage: Bacteria; Bacillati; Actinomycetota; Actinomycetes; Streptosporangiales; Thermomonosporaceae.
GCCCUAAUAGCUCAAUGGACAGAGUACCGGUCUACGGAACCGGGGAUCCAGGUUCGACUCCUGGUUGGGGUA